This is a long non-coding RNA of Dendroctonus ponderosae (mountain pine beetle), 752 nucleotides long. RefSeq lists it as uncharacterized. The record is from RefSeq and is a predicted model, not a curated record. Lineage: Eukaryota; Metazoa; Arthropoda; Insecta; Coleoptera; Curculionidae. The transcript has 2 exons.
CCAGGGUAAAGAUUUCAUGCAAAAUUUGCUCAGUUAUACCCUCGACGAAGAUUGCCCAUGAUAGUUUCACCCGUUGGCGCCAUCUCGGCGGGAGACGGAAACUACAAUGUUCGGAAUGUCGAAUCAAGCUAUUUCCAAUAAUGUUGGAAAACAUCGUCACAAUUAUCGGAGGAUUUACGGUGAUCCUACUUAGCCUUGUGUGCGAGAGAUCCCUAUUAUCUGUUUUGCAUAGAGAUCUAUUGCGUCGAAUAUCCAUUUGCUACGGUAAGUUCCCGGUACCUUUAACGUUAUUUUUCUUGGAACGGGUUGGAAAAUAUUGUCACACUUAUCGGAGGAUUUACCGAAAUCCUGCUUACCCUUGUGUGCAAGAGAUCACUAUUGUCUGCUUUAGAAAGAGGUCAAUUACGUCCAAUAAACAUUUGCUACGGUAAGUUUCCGGUACCUUUAACGUUAUUUUCGUAGAAACUUGAGUUGGAAAAUAUCGUCAACACUUAUCGGAUGAUUUACCGCAAUCCUACCUCUCCUUGUGUGCGAGAGAUCCCUAUUAUCUGCAUUGGAUAGAGAUCUAUCGAGACGAACAACCAUUGUAAGUUUCCGGUAAAAUUAAGGUCCGUUUCUUGAAAGUUGAUUUGAAAAUAUAAGUUUUAUUGAUUUUUAUCAUAAGAGUUGUGUGUGACGAAUCUCUAAUACCUGUUUGAAACUGAGAAUUAUUGUAUCCAAUAAACACUUGCUACGAUUACUUGGCGACAAAA